GGUCGACGCGACGCCGCGGGAACACCGGCGGCCCGAGUGGUGAUCGUGAUUAUUGGGUCUAAAGGGUCCGUAGCCGGUUGGUCAGUCCUCCGGGAAAUCUGAUAGCUCAACUAUUAGGCUUUCGGGGGAGUACUGCCAGACUUGGAACCGGGAGAGGUAAGAGGUACUACAGGGGUAGGAGUGAAAUCUUGUAAUCCCUGUGGGACCACCUGUGGCGAAGGCGUCUUACCAGAACGGGUUCGACGGUGAGGGACGAAAGCUGGGGGCACGAACCGGAUUAGAUACCCGGGUAGUCCCAGCCGUAAACGAUGCUCGCUAGGUGUCAGGCAUGGCGCGACCGUGUCUGGUGCCGCAGGGAAGCCGUGAAGCGAGCCACCUGGGAAGUACGGCCGCAAGGCUGAAACUUAAAGGAAUUGGCGGGGGAGCACAACAACGGGUGGAAGCCUGCGGUUUAAUUGGACUCAACGCCGGACAACUCACCGGGGGCGACAGCAAUAUGUAGGCCAAGCUGAAGACUUUGCCUGAAUCGCUGAGAAGAGGUGCAUGG
RNAcentral lists this ribosomal RNA (547 nucleotides) under uncultured archaeon. RNAcentral's name for it is "bacterial SSU rRNA". It matches the Rfam family "Archaeal small subunit ribosomal RNA", at positions 454 to 997 of the family's 1478-position model. The record is from RNAcentral.